AGAGUUUGAUUCUGGCUCAGAACGAACGCUGGCGGCGUGGAUAAGACAUGCAAGUCGCGCGGUUAGCGGUAGCAAUACCGUGAAAGCGGCGGACGGGUGAGUAACACGUGGGCAACCUGCCUCCAAGUUGGGAAUAGCCCGCCGAAAGGCGGAUUAAUGCCGAAUUGUGGCCAGGGGGGGCAUCCCCCUGAAGCCGAAGCCGGGGACCGCGAGGCCCGGCGCUUGGAGAGGGGCCCGCGGCCUAUCAGCUUGUUGGCGGGGUAACGGCCCACCAAGGCUACGACGGGUAGCUGGUCUGAGAGGACGGUCAGCCACACUGGAACUGAGACACGGUCCAGACACCUACGGGUGGCAGCAGUCGAGAAUCAUUCGCAAUGGGCGCAAGCCUGACGGUGCGACGCCGCGUGGAGGAUGAAGGGCUUCGGCUUGUAAACUCCUGUCACUCCGGAAAAAGGCGCCGGCCGGACAAUGGUUCGGCGCUUGAUGGUACGGGGAGAGGAAGGGACGGCUAACUCUGUGCCAGCAGCCGCGGUAAUACAGAGGUCCCAAGCGUUGUUCGGAUUUAUUGGGCGUAAAGGGCGCGUAGGCGGCCGGGUCAGUCUGGCGUGAAAUUCCGGGGCUCAACCCCGAAACUGCGCUGGAUACUGCUCGGCUGGAGGACUGGAGAGGUGGCCGGAAUUCACGGUGUAGCGGUGAAAUGCGUAGAUAUCGUGAGGAAGACCCGAGGCGAAGGCGGGCCACUGGACAGUACCUGACGCUGAGGCGCGAAGGCCGGGGGAGCAAACAGGAUUAGAUACCCUAGUAGUCCCGGCAGUAAACUGUGAGCGCUUGGUGUGGGGGGAUUCGACCCCCCCCGUGCCGGAGCCAACGCGUUAAGCGCUCCGCCUGGGGAGUACGGCCGCAAGGCUAAAACUCAAAGAAAUUGACGGGGGCCCGCACAAGCGGUGGAGUAUGUGGCUUAAUUCGAUGCAACGCGAAGAACCUUACCUGGCCUUGACAUGCGGUGUUCACGGGGUGAAAGCUCCCGGCCCUAACCGGCGAACCGCACAGGUGCUGCAUGGCUUUCGUCAGCUCGUGUCGUGAGAUGUUGGGUUAAGUCCCGCAACGAGCGCAACCCCUGCGUCCUGUUGCCACCCUCGCGAGAGGCGCACUCUGGACGGACUACCCUGUUUCAACGGGGAGGAAGGUGGGGACUACGUCAAGUCAGUAUGGCCCUUACGGCCAGGGCUGCACACGUACUACAAUGCCCAGCACAGAGAGACCCGAUGCCGCGAGGCGGAGGAAAUCAUUAAAACUGGGCUCAGUUCGGAUCGCGGGCUGCAACUCGCCCGCGUGAAGCUGGAAUCGCUAGUAAUGGCGCAUCAGCAUGUGGCGCCGUGAAUACGUUCCCGGGCCUUGUACACACCGCCCGUCACAUCAUGGAAGUCUUCUGCACCCGAAACCGGCGCGCCAACCGCAAGGAGGCAGCCGUCUAAGGUGUGGGCGAUAACUGGGAUGAAGUCGGGACAAGGUA
Molecule: ribosomal RNA, 1513 nt
Filed under: metagenome
Description: bacterial SSU rRNA
Rfam family: Bacterial small subunit ribosomal RNA
Source: RNAcentral